RNAcentral lists this transfer RNA (72 nucleotides) under Medicago truncatula f. tricycla. RNAcentral describes it as "tRNA-Asn". Lineage: Eukaryota; Viridiplantae; Streptophyta; Magnoliopsida; Fabales; Fabaceae. The record is from RNAcentral.
AUUAUGAAGAAGUUCCACAAGUUAUAAAGGAAACUUCGGUCUGAUAAUAGAAUUUACCUUUGUUCCUCAGUA